RNA transcript from Anopheles arabiensis, 3621 nucleotides. It is a transcript of the gene named major facilitator superfamily domain-containing protein 6, with no coding region annotated. The transcript has 8 exons. NCBI's taxonomy places the organism in Eukaryota, Metazoa, Arthropoda, Insecta, Diptera, Culicidae. The record is from RefSeq and is a predicted model, not a curated record.
AUUCUGACUCUACCCUUCGUCGCGGACGCGUACACUUCGCGGGACAUCUGUCCUGGGAUCUCGUGGCCGGUGUUGUUGCUCAAGCUCGACGCACUUCCCGUCCGCACUGUGUUGUCGUGUAACCCGUCGGCGACCAUUUUCAAUGAGAAACAUGCCGAAAAUGAACUGAAAACAGUGGCAGAACAGUGCGUGUGUGUGUGUUAUAUGUGUGUGCGCCUAUCGGUACUGUUAGAAUAGAGUGAAAUCCUUCGUUUCGAGAGUCUCCUUCCCACCAGGAGCUACCGUUUGCCAACCAAUAUUUGGCCCAAUAUAUCUACCCUAAUUUCGGGAAGGGGUAGAACACGCCACGAGGGAACGAAGGCGCCCCGCCCCGUUGGCUCAUGAUUAUAUUUCACUGUCGUACGCAGUUUUAGCUUCGGUUCUUUCGCCCGUUUCGUUCGUGCUGAAGACGCAGCAAGAAGAUCCAAAAUGGUCGAGAUUAACAAGAAACUGUUGCCCAUGAAGGCACACUACUUCCUCUUCAAUGCAGGAACGGCUCCAGUAGUGCCUUUUAUGCCGACGCUCGUGCGGCAGCUCGGCUUCUCUACGGUGAUCGUCGGAACGAUCUACACGGUCCUGCCGAUCGUGGGCAUGCUGGUGAAGCCCCUGUUCGGCAUCAUUGCCGAUCGGUUUCAGCGCCAGAAGCUGCUGUUUCUGAUCUUUCAGAUCCUUACAGCCGUUCCGUUCUUUCUGAUCAUGUUCAUCCCGGCGAUCCCGCAGGACUCGACCGUCACAUUCCACUGCCACAAUGGGGCGGCCGACCUGAAGUACUGCCCGGACAAUGGGACCAGCAUUGACGCGUGCUUGGUGGAAAGCAUCACCACGAACGAGAGCAACGGCACGCUGCUGUGCGAUAUGGAGUGCCGCACCGAGCCGUGGAUGUGGGACACGGUGUGCAAGUACUGGAACGUGUCGGCGUACUGCGACGAGAAGAACAUACCGGCCGAUCGUAUUCUCCGACUGACGGGCGUCGUGCCCAACAACCACAUCAAUCUGGUCGACGAGUGUCUGUACUUUAUGCUGCGCGAGGGCCAGAUGGACGGCGACCGGGUACCGUUGUACUGUCCCGCGAACACGACCGACUUCCGGACGAGCUGCCAGGUGCAGUGCAACAACGAGCAGGUGAUGGGUGCGAUCUCACACUCGAAGAUUGCCGACGGCGACGUGACGGGGCUGUAUCAGUUCUGGUUGCUGUUCCUGUUCCUGAUCGUCAGCUGGGCCGGCAUGGCCGUGGUGGUUAGCGUCGGCGAUGCGAUCUGCUUCGAGAUGCUGGGCGACAAGCCGCACCUGUACGGCAACCAGCGGCUGUGGGGUUCGAUCGGCUGGGGCACGGUGUCGCUGUUUGCCGGGUUCCUGGUCGACACGCUGUCCGAGGGCAAGCUGACGAAGGACUACACGAUCGUGUUUUACAUGACGAUCGUGCUGAUUGGGUUCGAUAUGCUUUGCUCCUCCAAAUUGCAGCACACCCAGACACGCCUGUCCACCAACAUUCUGAAGGAUGUUGGCAAAAUAUUUGUCAACUUCCGGAUUUGUGUCUUUUUCUGCUGGUGCGUGCUGAUCGGCUUCGGAACGGCACUGAUUUGGAACUUUUUGUUCUGGCACUUGGAGGACCUGGCCAGCGCCCAGGAAGGAUGUGGCCAUUCGACUUGGAUUAAAACGCUGGAAGGCAUCAUCAUGUCGAUCCAAACGUUCGGCGGUGAGCUGCCAUUCUUUUUCCUGUCCGGUUGGAUACUGAAAAAGAUUGGCCACAUCCACGCGAUGAGCCUGGUGCUGCUUGGGUUCGGCGUACGCUUCCUGCUGUACUCGCUGCUGACCGAUCCGUGGUGGGUCAUACCGAUCGAGUUCAUGAACGGUAUCACGUUCGGUCUGUUCUACGCAACGAUGGCAUCCUACGCCAGUAUCGUUGCACCGCCCGGCACAGAAGCAACCAUGCAGGGACUCGUGGGAGCAGUGUUCGAAGGUGUCGGCGUCUCCCUAGGCAGCUUGCUGGCCGGCAAUCUGUUCCAUCGUAUCGGUGGCAGUGCAACGUUCCGCGCGUUCGGCACGGCGGCGCUCAUACUCUUCGUGCUGCACGUCGUCGUGCAGAAGCUGACCGACCGCUUCAGCAGCCAGGGUAAGCAAAAGCAACAGAAAAUGAACGGCUUGACGGACGUUAAGCUCAAGGAAAACGGAACGCAUUGCGGGUCGGGUGGCGGGCUGGGCGAGAACGGUCUCUCCAACGGACAGCUGGGCAAAACCGGCUCCAUCCUGUCGGAGUCCACCGUGCAGGAGGUGCUGCACGAAACCGACCAUGAACAGGACCAGCUACACGAUUGCCCCCCCGCCAGCCGGGCAGAAGGGCAGAAGAAUGCCUCCAACGGGAACGUGGCCGGACACGAGGGAGAAAAACAGCCGAACGGCAAUACGGCCGCCGCCGCCGCUGUCCAAGGCCAGUUGUACGAAGUGCCAUUAAAUUAGGUCGGACGGGAGAGAUCGCUUCUUCCUCCUACUAUGUUGUCCUUUCAACAAUUCAACAUGAUAUUACACAUCCGGGCAAAAUGGAAGGGGGUUUGGAAAAUCAAUUAGUUGUAAGCUCGGGGGAAGCCCUUCACGCCCGCGUACUGAUACCAUUUACAUUCUCGCAAUCUGCCACAACCAUUGCCACGACCACACAUACAACACACAUACAAACGCAUACAUACGUACACACAAAAAAAGACCACUUCACCUCACCAAAUCCUUCCCAUCGAACGGAUUAUGGACGUACAAAGAACGGCGGUUCAGUUUUUUCUUUCGGUAACUGAUUGAUAGUUUGCGAUAAGUUUGCAUUUAUGUCUUUUGUUGGUUUUUGAUUUUGACGGUCCCCUAUCUUUCUACCUGCUAUGAUGUUCGUAGACUAGCAUUGUGUACAAGUAAUAAAUACGAUUUAUAAUUCAUCAUUAGUUGCUUCCCUGCCACGUUGAGUAGUUCAUUUACCGGACCAUGCGACGACACGCGUUCUCUGACAACAUUACGAAAUAAUAUAAAAGAAACAACAAAAAGGGGGUUUGUUGCCCUAAACAUGGUUGCAAUCAGUAACAAAUGAAAUAGGAAGUACAAAAACAACACGUUUUUCGCUACCAUAGCGACCGUAGUACAAAGCGCUUCAAUCAACACGUCUCUUUCGUACGCAACCACAAGCCAUCUCGCCCCAGACGCAAGAAACGCGUCCCGGUUACGCACCACCAAAGGAGGCGCUGGAAAACGUAGAAGACGAUGAACCGAUCGUGCCCGGUGGCAGCUAUCAGAAGUAAUGGAAUGGAAGGAACGUUGACUAGCGCCACACGCGACGGAAGCAUAUUUUAUCGUGUCCUGUCGUGUCUCUGACUAUCGUUUUUUUUUUAAACUCUGACGAAAUGCAUUUAACUAACUUUAUCCUACAAGUGAGACACAUUCCAGUGCGUGUAUGUGCGUGUGCGUGUUCUUAGAAUAGAUACGUGUGUGUGUGCAUGUGAGUAAACGGGUAUAUUGGGCAUUAUUGCAGAGAUCAGGUGUGUUUUUUUACAAUAUUUACCAAUAAUAGAAGUAGAGUGAAAUAAAGCUCAUUACAUAGUGAAGAAACGA